UACGGAGGAUGCAAGCGUUAUCCGGAAUGAUUGGGCGUAAAGCGUCCGCAGGUGGCUAUGUAAGUCUGCUGUUAAAGAGUCUAGCUCAACUAGAUAAGAGCAGUGGAAACUACAUGGCUAGAGUGCGUUCGGGGCAGAGGGAAUUCCUGGUGUAGCGGUGAAAUGCGUAGAGAUCAGGAAGAACACCGGUGGCGAAAGCGCUCUGCUAGGCCGCAACUGACACUGAGGAGCGAAAGCGUGGGGAGCGAACAGG
This 253-nucleotide ribosomal RNA is filed under the name uncultured bacterium. Its description in RNAcentral is "partial 16S ribosomal RNA". It matches the Rfam family "Bacterial small subunit ribosomal RNA", at positions 524 to 776 of the family's 1533-position model. The record is from RNAcentral.